Molecule: ribosomal RNA, 253 nt
Filed under: uncultured bacterium
Lineage: Bacteria
Description: partial 16S ribosomal RNA
Rfam family: Bacterial small subunit ribosomal RNA
Source: RNAcentral
UACGUAGGGGGCGAGCGUUGUCCGGAUUUACUGGGCGUAAAGAGCGUGUAGGCGGCCAGACAGGUCCGUUGUGAAAACUGGAGGCUCAACCUUCAGACGUCGACGGAAACCGUCUGGCUAGAGUCCGGAAGAGGAGAGUGGAAUUCCUGGUGUAGCGGUGAAAUGCGCAGAUAUCAGGAAGAACACCCGUGGCGAAAGCGGCUCUCUGGAACGGUACUGACGCUGAGACGCGAAAGCGUGGGGAGCGAACAGG